Gouania willdenowi (blunt-snouted clingfish) is the source of this 1076-nucleotide long non-coding RNA. Lineage: Eukaryota; Metazoa; Chordata; Actinopteri; Blenniiformes; Gobiesocidae. The record is from Ensembl.
CACGUGUGCACACAACCAAGCAGACACGGACUGUAAACACGAGUGAGACAGAAGAAGAUAGUUUUAUACCGGAGAGGAACGUCUGAGCAGCCGUGUUUGUAAUGAUAAACUAGCAAAGCUCUUAAGUCUCACUUAUUGGGCCUGAUGUUAGUCACUGAUGUUCGUGUGUGUGAGCCACGGCAGACUCCACUUCCUCCUGUGCCAUGCUAUUGUUAGCUUCUCAAACACGGGAGCUCUCUGAAUAGAUACUUUGAAACCAUCAGCCACUGGAAAGUGAUGAAGAUGCCAGAAAAACAAAUGAGCUGAGAGUAGAAACUUCAACAAUAAGCCAUUGAUGAAGAUGACAGCCAAACAGAAGAGCAGAGAGCAGAAACUUUUAAUGAAGCACAGGUGAGACGAAACUACAACCAUUACUCUUUUUCUGUCUCUGAAACUACACAACCUUCACAGUCUUAUCUCUUCUUUUUCUGAUGUUUUUGAUGACUAAUGGACUUUUGUUCUUCCUCUAUGGUCCAUCAUGUUCACAAAAGAGCUCUCAGAGCAAUGAUGACGCUGGCAGCCAAACAGAAGUGCAAAGAGCAGACCUUUCCACAUUGGAACAGGAAAAUGUCCCUCAAGACAUGGAUGUUGUUCACUCCCAUGGACUAACGGAAGGGCAGAGUUUCAUCUCCAUUCUCUCCUUUGCACUAAAACACAACACUACUGGUGUAUUAACUGAAGAUCUGCUGACACUUCUAAAGUUACAUUCUGCUGGGACAAGUGCAGUUCCAACAAGCAAGUACUUUUUGGAAAAACCAUUAGCUGGUAUUGUAGAUACAUUUCAACACCAUCACUACUGCAGAGUAUGUACUAAGUACCUUGGCACUUCUCAAUCAGAAGAAGGGACCUUAACAUGUGUGUCAUGUUUGUCAUCCAUCACAGCAAAAGACAGUUUACACGGAGGACAUUUCUUUAUCAGUAUUCCGUUAAAGGAUCAACUUAAAGAUAUUCUUGAAAAUCAGGAAAGAACUUCAGCAUAUUGCUCACCUGUGGAACACCCACAUCAUUCAGAGAAGCAGAAAUGCAGUUGCACCUAG